UGCUGGCGGCAUGCUACCACAUGCAAGUCGAACGAACCUUCGGUGGUUAGUGGCGCACGGGUGCGUAACGCGUUGAUCUGCCCUUUGCUUCGGAAUAACAGUUAGAAAUGACUGCUAAUACCGGAUGAUGUCUUCGGACCAAAGAUUUAUCUGGCAAGGGAUGAGCCCGCGUAGGAUUAGGUAGUUGGUGGGGUAAAGGCCUACCAAUGCCGACGAUCCUUAGCUGGUCUGAGAGGAUGAUCAGCCACACUGGGACUGAGACACGGCCCAGACUCCUACGGGAGUGCAGCAGUGGGGAAUAUUGGACAAUGGGCGCAAGCCUGAUCCAGCAAUGCCGCGUGAGUGAUGAAGGCCUUCGGGUCGUAAAGCUCUUUUACCAGGGAAUGAUAAAUGACAAGUACCAUGAGAGACAUACAGCUCCCGGCAUAACUCCAGUGCCAAGCAGCCGGUGGUAAUACGGGGGGAGCAAGCGUUGUACGGAUUUACUGGGCGUAAAGGGCGCGUAAGCGGACAGCACAAAGUCAGUUGUGAAAUCUCCGAGGCUUAACUCGGAAAGGUC
RNAcentral lists this ribosomal RNA (559 nucleotides) under uncultured Novosphingobium sp. Its description in RNAcentral is "bacterial SSU rRNA". It matches the Rfam family "Bacterial small subunit ribosomal RNA", at positions 34 to 624 of the family's 1533-position model. Lineage: Bacteria; Pseudomonadati; Pseudomonadota; Alphaproteobacteria; Sphingomonadales; Sphingomonadaceae. The record is from RNAcentral.